Molecule: ribosomal RNA, 440 nt
Filed under: uncultured bacterium
Lineage: Bacteria
Description: partial 16S ribosomal RNA
Rfam family: Bacterial small subunit ribosomal RNA
Source: RNAcentral
CCUACGGGAGGCAGCAGUGGGGGAUAUUGCACAAUGGGGGAAACCCUGAUGCAGCGACGCCGCGUGAGUGAAGAAGUAUUUCGGUAUGUAAAGCUCUAUCAGCAGGGAAGAAAAUGACAGUACCUGACCAAUAAGCCCCGGCUAACUACGUGCCAGCAGCCGCUGUAAUACGUAGGGGGCAAGCGUUAACCGGGUUUACUGGGUGUAAAGGCAGCGUAGACGGUUAUGUAAGUCUGGAGUGAAAGCCCGGGGGCCAACCCCCGGACUGCUUUGGAUACUGUGUAACUGGAGUAAAGGAGGGGCAGGCGGAAUUCCAGGUGUAGCGGUGAAAUGCGUAGAUAUAAGGAGGAACACCAGAGGCGAAGGCGGCCUGCUGGACUGAAACUGACGUUGAGGCUCGAAAGCGUGGGGAGCAAACAGGAUUAGAUACCCGAGUAGUC